This is a long non-coding RNA of Panicum virgatum (switchgrass), 657 nucleotides long. RefSeq lists it as uncharacterized. The transcript has 2 exons. The record is from RefSeq and is a predicted model, not a curated record. Lineage: Eukaryota; Viridiplantae; Streptophyta; Magnoliopsida; Poales; Poaceae.
AAUUGUACGCCAUGAGCGAGAGGACCGUGGCCAUGACGAGACUCGGCGGCUCCGACUGCGGAUCUGCGGUGCAGACGAAGAUGUCCACGCAGGGCAGCCGGUCUCCAUACCUGCUCCAGAUUGUUCGUUAUGUGGGGGGACUGCCUGGUCCAUCUGGAGAACGCAAAAUAAGAUGGCAAUUGAGAAGAUAUUUCCUAACAAUCCUAUUGACGCCAUAAACUCUGGUGUACGUAUCUUCAGUACAGAAAUGGCGGAUACUGUUUGAAACGGGCUGAUGAAGAGAAGCUUACCGAAGGUCACCAGUGUUUUUUUUUCGCGAUCGUGCCUGAGCACGUUUUUCAUUAAGAGAGAGAAGAAAAAAAAAUACAGAAGAGCCGGAGCCCGGAGGUGGUCACCAGCGUCUCAGGGCCGUGUUACCCGCUAGUUACUUCUACUUAUACGUACCCUCGUACCCAGCUUCAGUGAGCUACUAUAGUUAACACAAACAGCAGAUUAUCUGUAGAACCUUGAUGAAGACAUCUGCUUUAUGAAGAUUAAUUAGGAACGUGCACAUAUUGAUAGAUAUUGAUAUAGACAAAGUGCAUGCAUGUUAGGUGCAAACAGUAUGUGCCGUAUACAAAUCUGGCGGUUUAUUUCGGUUUAUCUUAUUUUGAAUUA